Long non-coding RNA from Betta splendens (Siamese fighting fish), 705 nucleotides. RefSeq lists it as uncharacterized. Lineage: Eukaryota; Metazoa; Chordata; Actinopteri; Anabantiformes; Osphronemidae. The record is from RefSeq and is a predicted model, not a curated record. The transcript is spliced from 4 exons.
UUGGGCCUUAUAAAACAGGAUCGCGCGAGAGUUGCGGUCUUCUCGGGCGUGGUGCUGCGGACGGUGAGGGAGGGAAGCAUGGAGCGCUGUUACGCUCCGAUAAAAGUGAUUAUAGAUUCUACAGUAGAAGAGUCGCCGUGAAAAGGUUCCUGCUUCCUCCUUUCCUGCUGCGCCCCUGAAAAGAUGUAACGCCAUUAAAGCAGGACUACAGAAGGUUCCAAGCCUGGGACGACGUGAACAAGAUCUGGACACAGCAGCUCGGCACAGGCUUGUUGAUGCCAUGAACAAAAUAUUAAAAACAUACAUGUAUUGAUCUUAAAGGUUUAUUAAAGGUAAGUAUGAAAACAGCGUAAUGGCACAAGUAUUCAGCAUAUUAACAGUAAUAUAAAUUCUACUGCGAGCAUCCACAAAGUUCUGGUCAACUAAUGCUUGAGUAUAAUUUGUAUGAUUUCUUUUUUAAAUUUUCUAGAAAUAGCUGCUCCUCUUGAAGGAAUUCACGGUCCUGUAGACAGAAAAAAGGUUGUAGAAAGGAAAUUUAAACCCUAAAUUAUUUAUGGUCUUUGAAUAUUUUAGGGCAGUUGUUUCUAAGAUGAUCUACUGGCACAGACCAUUACGGUAUCUUUUUUAAAUGUUUUUAGUUGUAGGUGAGAAACAUGUUUCUGUAAUUAUAACCUGUGAAAUCUUCAAUAAAAGCCUAUGCAGUAA